AUGAAGAACGCAGCGAAAUGCGAUAAGUAAUGUGAAUUGCAGAAUUCAGUGAAUCAUCGAAUCUUUGAACGCACAUUGCGCCCGCCAGUAUUCUGGCGGGCAUGCCUGUUCGAGCGUCAUUUCAACCAUCAAGCCCCAGGCUUGUGUUGGGGACCUGCGGCUGCCGCAGGCCCUGAAAACCAGUGGCGGGCUCGCUGUCACACCGGGCGUAGUAGAUUUUAUCUCGCUCAGGGCGUGCUGCGGGUUCCGGCCGUUAAAAAGCCUUUUUUACCCAAGGUUGACCUCGGAUCAGGUAGGAAGACCCGCUGAACUUAAGCAUAUCAAUAGCGGAGGA
RNAcentral lists this unclassified non-coding RNA (334 nucleotides) under soil metagenome. Its description in RNAcentral is "partial contains 5.8S ribosomal RNA, internal transcribed spacer 2, and large subunit ribosomal RNA". The stretch from base 1 to 119 matches the Rfam family "5.8S ribosomal RNA", at positions 36 to 154 of the family's 154-position model. The record is from RNAcentral.